Molecule: long non-coding RNA, 477 nt
Organism: Phycodurus eques (leafy seadragon)
Lineage: Eukaryota; Metazoa; Chordata; Actinopteri; Syngnathiformes; Syngnathidae
Exons: 3
Source: RefSeq, a predicted model, not a curated record
CUCGGGGCCAAGGCUGAACGGAUGGAGCUGCCACCAACUCGGGAGGAAGCUGGCAAGGAUCGCAGGACGCACAGGAAGCGAGACCCUGAGGACGGGAGUCGAUUUGCGGGGGGCCGCCGUGCCGACACACCCCGAAACCCGCAUUCUUGCAACUGUUGUCUUGGCACCUGUCCAGGAAGUGACCUCAUCAGAUAAACGGAAGGAGCAAGUCUAUUCUACCAAACCAACGACUUUGGAAGAACUUGAAGGGCGAAUACGAGGAGUUGUGUCUUCCAUCCCACAAGAGUUCCUUGUGAAAUCAGUUGAUGCGGCUUGAGAAACUGGUGGCUCACGCUGGCGCCCAUAUCCAAUUUUAAAGAAACCUCCAUUCAAUACACUUUCUUCUCGUAUAACUGCGAUUGGCUGGCAACCAGUUCAGGGCGUACCCCGCCUCCUGCCCGAUGACAGCUGGGAUGGGCUCCAGCACGCCCGCGACCC